Molecule: ribosomal RNA, 253 nt
Filed under: uncultured bacterium
Lineage: Bacteria
Description: partial 16S ribosomal RNA
Rfam family: Bacterial small subunit ribosomal RNA
Source: RNAcentral
UACGGGGGGGGCAAGCGUUGUUCGGAAUUACUGGGCGUAAAGGGCGCGUAGGCGGUUUGCUAAGUUGGAUGUGAAAACUCUGGGCUUAACCCAGAGCCUGCAUCCAAAACUGGCAAACUUGAGUACUGGAGGGGAAAGCGGAAUUCCUGGUGUAGCGGUGAAAUGCGUAGAUAUCAGGAGGAACACCGGUGGCGAAGGCGGGAUCCUGGGCCAGUACUGACGCUGAGGAGCGAAAGCGUGGGGAGCAAACAGG